UAAGUAGGGCGUGAAAGCGUGUGGCUCAACCAUAUACACAUGUCCUAAACUACUAAGCUGGAAUAUAGAAGAGGUCGCUGGAAUUCCUUGUGUAGGAGUGAAAUCCGUAGAUAUGAGGAGGAACACCGAUGGCGUAGGCAGGCGACUGGUCUAUCAUUGACACUAAGGCACGAAAGCGUGGGUAGCAAACGGGAUUAGAUACCCCGGUAGUCCACGCCGUAAACUAUGGAUGCUA
This 235-nucleotide ribosomal RNA is filed under the name uncultured Candidatus Saccharibacteria bacterium. RNAcentral describes it as "partial 16S ribosomal RNA". It matches the Rfam family "Bacterial small subunit ribosomal RNA", at positions 584 to 818 of the family's 1533-position model. Lineage: Bacteria; Candidatus Saccharimonadota. The record is from RNAcentral.